UUUAAGGAGAAGAGCGGUUUUAGGAAGGGAGGAGGUGCUGUGCGGGGACGGAUGGUUCUUGCUGAGACUUUCGUGGGAAGAUGGGAGGUUCUGUAGCAGACAGAGAGAGAGCAUGAGCAGCAGAGGGAAUGGCAGAGGAAGAGGGAGAAGCAGAGUCCCUGCUGAGCAGGGAGCCUGAUGCAGGAUUCCAUCCCAGGACCCUGGAGUGGUGACCUGAGCCAAAGGCAUUCGUUUAACUGCCUGAGCCACCCAGAAGCAUGUGGUCCCGUAAGGCUGAAUGCUCGUGCUCCUGCAGGAUCCCCCGUUUAUCCUUCAGGAAGAAGAGGAAAAGAAGUCAGGCUGCUGAAAGACUCCAAAAAUCAAGGUAGUGGAGGAAUAUUCCACUAACACAGAAGUGUGACAACUCUGCUUACUUGUCUAAAGUUUAGGAUUGGCCCCCCGUCCAGAGAAGAACAAAUCUCAUCCUCAGCUUUGGUACUGAGGAGAGUUCUAGAGGACAGCCCAACUGGGAGUUUAGAACUAACUGUCAAGAUCUCUCUAGAGUUGGAAAGCAGUUCUGUAAAUUGUGCGCUAAAAAGGUAAACCUAUCCUUUUUGCAGCCAAGAUAAUCACAGGUUUGAUAUGUGAAAAGGUAUGGACUCUUCACUGAUUUCUUUAAAAGGCUCUCACAAAUACAUUUUUUUCAUAUAGGUUUUUAAAAUAAAUGUACGCUUAUGUCAAGCAAUACACCAAGAUAUAGAAUGAGAAACAAAAGUCUCCUUCUCCCCAACACCACCCCCAAUUCCCUAGUCUCUCAUUCACCAGAGUCAGCGAUGAUAUGUAUACACUUUUAACUCAAUGAGAUCAUAAGCAUAUUCAGUUUUUAAAAAUACAUACCUUAUUCUUUUUAUCAGAUGCAUUAUAUUCCAAAAUAUAAAUAUAUAGAAUUAUAUAGUCAGCACUUCAGUGGUGGGCUUACAGGUUUUUAGUUUUUGGUGUUUUUUUUUUGCUAUGAAAAUUUCUCUGAGUGAGGGUAUUUGUAUAUGUGUAAUCAUUGUGUACUUAGAGUAUCUGUGAAAAUUCCUAGCGAUAGAAUUAUAAAGUCAAUGUGUGGAUCACUUUUUUUUUUUUAAAUAAAGACAUCCUUAUUUACUUUUUUUUUUUUAAGUAAUCUGUAAGCCCAACAUGGGGCUUGAACUCAUGACCCUGACAUCAAGAGUCAUAUGCUCCACUGACUGAGCCAGCCACGCACCCCUCACUUUUCAUAGAUAUGUAAUCAAACUGCCCUCAAAAAGAGUUGGAUAUUAUAAAUUGUAUUAAUCUUUGUCAAUUUGAUGGUGAAAGUUGUAUUUCUUGUUAUAAUAUAUACUUAUUUAGGAGUGAGAUGGGGUGUCUUUUUUUACACCUAUUACUCAGUUGAAUUUUUUCUGGGACUACUCAUAUAUUCCUUUGCCUAUUUUUCUAUUAAGUUAAAUAAGCUAUUUACAUGUAAGAAUGUUUGUAUAUAAGGAAAAUGCCCUUUUUGUCUUUUGUCAGAUGUUGGAGAUAUUUACCUCUAGUUUGUGGUUUGCCAUUUGACUUUAUUUAUGGUAUUUUUCAGAAAUCACAUUAAAGUUUCAAGUAUUUGUAGUUAAGCAUCAAAAUUAUAGUUCUGGUUUUGUGUCAGUCAUCUAAGAAAGACCUUUAUUUUAAGAAUAAAAAAAAUUUCUCACCUUUACUUCUAGUAUUUUUAAGACUUAAAAAAAAACCUUUUUAUUUGGAGUAAUUUUAGAUGCACACAAAGUAUAAAAUAAUACAGUGCAUUAUAUCUCUUAAUGUCUGAAAUGCUGACCCAUCUGGAAUGUAUUAAAGGGAGGUAGGAAUCAAACUUUCUUUUCUUUUUCAUUUAUUUUAUACAACUUACUGAAAAAUAUUUGUAAUGGUUUUUAAGGCAAUAAAAUACACUUUAAAACAUGAUUUCAAAUCACUUCUGUUUCAAAAUACUUGGUGAUAGACCAAGAGUACCAGAAAACCAAGAUUUAUUAUCAUCAGAAGAAUGACUCCAGAAAGUCUCAAAAUCUGGUUGAGACUGUGGAGUCAGAAUUAGAAAAA
Mustela lutreola (European mink) is the source of this 2070-nucleotide long non-coding RNA. RefSeq lists it as uncharacterized. The record is from RefSeq and is a predicted model, not a curated record. The transcript has 4 exons. Lineage: Eukaryota; Metazoa; Chordata; Mammalia; Carnivora; Mustelidae.